UUCCCUACCACGCUGAGGUGCGCUGGCUGAGCAAAGGGAAAGCGAUUUCCCGAAUUUUUCGACUACGCCACACUGUGGCUCAGUUUUUGGAGAGCAAAGGACGCCCGGAGCCACUUUUUCAUGACCCUGAAUGGGUAGCUGAUUUAGGAUUUUUAGCAGACAUUAUGGCUCUCCUAAAUGAUUUAAGUCUGAAACUCCAAAAAGAAAACAAUCUCAUCAACGAUAUGAUCAGCAAAAUAAAUGCUUUCCAGUAUAAACUGAAGCUCCUCAAAAACAACCUUUCAGAGAAAAAUACGCAACACUUUCCUGAACUAGCAUCUGUGCAGGAAGGAGCGCGCUUUGAAAAAUACGUCGAGGUGCUCUAAUCCCUUGAAAAUGCGUUUAACGACCGAUUCCAGGAAAUUACCUACCUGCAGGCGAUUCUCGAUGUUUUUGUGAAACCUUUUUCGAUGUAUAUUGAAAGUGCCCCUUCAGAUUUUCAUUUCGAACUAAUUGAUUUGCAAAGCGAUGUUCACCGAAAGGAUGUGUUUUACAAUACAAAAGGUUUGCUCCAGUUCUACCAGAAUUUACCGAAGGAAGAAUUUCCCAAGUUACACAGAGAAGCAGCGAAGAUUAUUUCUAUGUUUGGUUCCACUUGUGUAUAUGAAAGGUUUUUUUUGUUUUGUCUUGUACAAAAACUAGAUUGCGUGCGAGUAUUUCUAAU
This is a long non-coding RNA of Schistocerca cancellata (South American locust), 703 nucleotides long. RefSeq lists it as uncharacterized. The record is from RefSeq and is a predicted model, not a curated record. The transcript is spliced from 3 exons. Lineage: Eukaryota; Metazoa; Arthropoda; Insecta; Orthoptera; Acrididae.